Papaver somniferum (opium poppy) is the source of this 1107-nucleotide long non-coding RNA. RefSeq lists it as uncharacterized. The record is from RefSeq and is a predicted model, not a curated record. NCBI's taxonomy places the organism in Eukaryota, Viridiplantae, Streptophyta, Magnoliopsida, Ranunculales, Papaveraceae. The transcript has 3 exons.
UGGGUUCUAUACUUCUCAGAUCUUAGUGCUUGAUUUCUUUCAUAAUAAUUUCUGCAGUUUUAGGAUUCAUUCUUUUGAGGACCCAAGUUGCUUAAGCCGACAAUCAAGCAAUGACUUAUCUUGUAGUGUUGCAGCUUCAGUUUGUCUGGCCUUCCAUGCUACAGUGAUUUGCACAAUUGAUGUCUUAUAAACAAGGAUUUCUUGGCAACGCACGCAGAAGCAAGUUACUAUGAAUAAAAUGCACUUCUUCGAUUUUGGGUUUAGUGCUGCAGCUCCUUUUGAAAGACCUGCACCACCAGGCUAGAAUGAGAUACUCCUUUCUUUAUUAUAUAUUCCUGGUAAUUUUCUCCAAUGCAUUGGUUUCCGGCAUUGAAAGAACUAAAAAGGAAACACUGUCCCACGCCCUGUCUGAUUUGGAUCAGUUACCGUUCUUUGUUGACAGCUUGGAUAAUCCCUGUCUAACAACUUAUGUUUCAGUGUGCAUCUUCACAUAUUGACCCAUUUCUUCUGCUGUAUGAUGACUCAAUCGAGUUAGAGGUUUAAAUGGAGUCUUAACUUUUAACUUGAGGAACCCACUUACCUGAAUAUGAUCAGGAAGAUUUUCAUCUUUAGGCAGAAUGACAAGAAGUAGCUCUCUACCCAUUUCUCUAAGUAAUACUGCGACACUAAGAAACUCAAGGGGAAGUUUCUCCACAUCAAGGCGGAACGUUUGAGUAUCCAUAUGCAUUUCUCUGAAGUUGAUAGUUGGAUUCCAUCCAGUUACAAGUCCCCUACAAUGUGGAGUUCUCACUUGAAGAACAUAAAAAAUGUACUACUUUCAAAUGGUGGACCUGUUACACCUAAUCGGGGAGUAAUAGUAGCAUCCAAGUGCUGGUUCUAGUUCUCAGUCUAAUUUUCUAUCAUCAUGACAUUGGAGAGAAGUCAUACUUGGUAAUUUAAUGCUUGCUACAAUAUUGAAAAUGGAGGGAGAAAUUAUCCGCGAGUACGACCAGCAAAAGUGUACUUCUCCACAUUUAUGCCGUCUUACAUGUUCAGGGUGCCGUGGGUGGGGGGCGGUUGGUUGCAAAAGUGUACUUCUCCACAUUUAUGGCGCGACGGCUGUCUUAC